GCGAGUGUAGCUCAGUGGUAGAGCAUAGCCUUGCCAAGGUUGGGGUCGCGAGUUCGAGUCUCGUUUCCCGCUCCA
Molecule: transfer RNA, 75 nt
Filed under: Gammaproteobacteria bacterium
Lineage: Bacteria; Pseudomonadati; Pseudomonadota; Gammaproteobacteria
Description: tRNA-Gly
Rfam family: tRNA
About the family: Transfer RNA (tRNA) molecules are approximately 80 nucleotides in length.
Source: RNAcentral